AGCGAACGCUGGCGGCAGGCCUAACACAUGCAAGUCGAACGAACUCUUCGGAGUUAGUGGCGGACGGGUGAGUAACACGUGGGAACGUGCCUGUAGGUUCGGAAUAACUCAGGGAAACUUGUGCUAAUACCGGAUGUGCCCUUCGGGGGCAAGAUUUAUCGCCUUUAGGGCGGCCCGCGUCUGUUUAGCUAGUUGGUGAGGUAAAGGCCCACCAAGGCGGCGAUCAGUAGCUGGUCUGAGAGGAAGGUCAGCCACAUUGGGACUGGGACACGGCCCAAACUCCGGCGGAAGGGAGCAAGGGGGAAUCAUGCGUAACGGGCGAAAGCCGGACGCAGCCGUGCCGCGUGAAUGAUGAGGGGCGUAGGAAAGUAAAAUGCUUUAUCCGGGGACGAUAAGGAGGGAACCCGAAGAAGAAGCCCGGCCUAACUCCGG
RNAcentral lists this ribosomal RNA (432 nucleotides) under uncultured bacterium. RNAcentral's name for it is "partial 16S ribosomal RNA". It matches the Rfam family "Bacterial small subunit ribosomal RNA", at positions 30 to 506 of the family's 1533-position model. The record is from RNAcentral.